AAGGUUUUAGGUUAAACAAACCAGUAGCCUUCAAAGUUAAAAAUAAAUUAAAUUUAGACCUUA
Molecule: transfer RNA, 63 nt
Filed under: Lachesilla sp. Lasp7Q
Lineage: Eukaryota; Metazoa; Arthropoda; Insecta; Psocodea; Lachesillidae
Description: tRNA-Trp
Source: RNAcentral